UACGUAGGGUGCAUGCGUUGUCCGGAAUUAUUGGGCGUAAAGAGCUCGUAGGCGGUUUGUCGCGUCUGCUGUGAAAACUCGGGGCUUAACCCCGGGCCUGCAGUGGGUACGGGCAGACUAGAGUGCGGUAGGGGAGACUGGAAUUCCUGGUGUAGCGGUGAAAUGCGUAGAGAUCAUGAGGAAGACCAGUGGCGAAGGCGGGUCUCUGGACAGUUCCUGACACUGAGACACGAAGGCCAGGGGAGCAAACGGG
RNAcentral lists this ribosomal RNA (253 nucleotides) under uncultured bacterium. RNAcentral describes it as "partial 16S ribosomal RNA". It matches the Rfam family "Bacterial small subunit ribosomal RNA", at positions 524 to 776 of the family's 1533-position model. The record is from RNAcentral.